AACCCAUGAUUUGGGCAUUUUCUCAAUAAAGACUUAUAUCUCUCCCAGGCUUCACACAAAGGUUCAUCAGUGCCUUGAGAGAAAGUUGUAAUUGCUGAUUUGGCACU
Molecule: non-coding RNA, 107 nt
Organism: Cajanus cajan (pigeon pea)
Lineage: Eukaryota; Viridiplantae; Streptophyta; Magnoliopsida; Fabales; Fabaceae
Source: Rfam